CACAGAUUCACUUCGGUGAUGACGUUGGGUAACGCGAGCGGCGGAUGGGUGAGUAACAACGUGGGGAACCGUAGCCCCACUAGUCUGGGAGUACCACUUGGAAACAGGUGCUAAUACCGGAUAAGAAAGACAGAUCGCAUGAUCAGCUUAUAAAAGGACGGCGUAAGCUGUCGCUAUGGGAUGGCCCCGCGGUGCAUUAGCUAGUUGGUAGGGUAACGGCCUACCAAGGCAAUGAUGCAUAGCCGAGUUGAGAGACUUCGAUCGGCCACAUUGGGACGUGAGACACGGCCCAAACUUACCCUACGGGAGGCAGCAGUAGGGAAUCUUCCACAAUGGACGAAAGUCUGAUGGAGCAACGCCGCGUGAGUGAAGAAGGUUUUCGGAUCGUAAAGCUCUGUUGUUGGUGAAGAAGGAUAGAGGUAGUAACUGGCCUUUAUUUGACGGUAAUCAACCAGAAAGUCACGGCUAACUACGUGCCAGCAGCCGCGGUAA
This 492-nucleotide ribosomal RNA is filed under the name uncultured bacterium. Its description in RNAcentral is "bacterial SSU rRNA". It matches the Rfam family "Bacterial small subunit ribosomal RNA", at positions 68 to 523 of the family's 1533-position model. The record is from RNAcentral.